Molecule: ribosomal RNA, 478 nt
Filed under: uncultured Massilia sp.
Lineage: Bacteria; Pseudomonadati; Pseudomonadota; Betaproteobacteria; Burkholderiales; Oxalobacteraceae
Description: partial 16S ribosomal RNA
Source: RNAcentral
CACGUAGUUAGCCGGUGCUUAUUCUUCGGGUACCGUCAUUAGCCGAAGGUAUUAACCUCAGCCGUUUCUUCCCUGACAAAAGAGCUUUACAACCCGAAGGCCUUCUUCACUCACGCGGCAUUGCUGGAUCAGGCUUGCGCCCAUUGUCCAAAAUUCCCCAUGCUGCCUCCCGUAGGAGUCUGGACCGUGUCUCAGUUCCAGUGUGGCUGGUCGUCCUCUCAGACCAGCUACUGAUCGUCGCCUUGGUGAGCCUUUACCCCACCAACUAGCUAAUCAGACAUCGGCCGCUCCAAAAGCAUGAGGCCCGAAGGUCCCCCACUUUCUCCGUAGAACGUAUGCGGUAUUAGCGCAACUUUCGCUGCGUUACUCCCCCUACUUCGUGGGUACGUCCGAUGUAUUACUCACCCGUUCGCCACUCGCCUACCACGGCCGAAGCCCGUGCUGCCGUUCGACUUGCAGUGUAGUAAAGCAGUCGCCG